This 274-nucleotide ribosomal RNA is filed under the name uncultured bacterium. RNAcentral describes it as "partial 16S ribosomal RNA". It matches the Rfam family "Bacterial small subunit ribosomal RNA", at positions 523 to 796 of the family's 1533-position model. The record is from RNAcentral.
AUACGGAGGGUGCAAGCGUUAUCCGGAAUCGUUGGGUUUAAAGGGUCCGCAGGCGGAUUAAUAAGUCAGUGGUGAAAUCCUCUCGCUCAACGAGAGAACUGCCAUUGAAACUGUUAGUCUUGAAUUCGGUCGAAGUAGGCGGAAUGUGUCAUGUAGCGGUGAAAUGCAUAGAUAUGACACAGAACACCGAUAGCGAAGGCAGCUUACUAGACCUGGAUUGACGCUCAUGGACGAAAGCGUGGGGAGCGAACAGGAUUAGAAACCCUAGUAGUCC